Long non-coding RNA from Ailuropoda melanoleuca (giant panda), 1365 nucleotides. RefSeq lists it as uncharacterized. NCBI's taxonomy places the organism in Eukaryota, Metazoa, Chordata, Mammalia, Carnivora, Ursidae. The transcript is spliced from 3 exons. The record is from RefSeq and is a predicted model, not a curated record.
GCUGAGAAGAGGGGGCAGCCCCAUCCAGCCACACGCUCUGGGGAAUGAAGGCCAGAGCCUGAGAAAGCAGUGAGAGUGACUCUUUGCAGCGGUUGCCAGGGGAGGGAUUGGGCAGAGGACCAGCCCACUUCUGCAGACUCCGUUCUGCCUCUGGCUGGCUGGGGGCUGCUGGAACUUUAUCCCCAGGCUGAUCCUGACGAGGGGAAGAGCUCCGAAAUUUCAGAUGUGAGAGCCAGCUCCCCUGCCUGGGAGUGAAGGUGGCUCUGAUGCUGGUGAAUGGACAGGAGCCCCACUGGUCCAGUGAGGGACAGUCCAGGCUACCAGAACUGUGGAACAAUCUAUCGCUGUGAGAAGGAACUACUCCAUAUGCAAGACAGACAAAUCUCACAAACAUACUGUGGAGUGAAAGAAGGCAGACACAAAAGAGUACUGUGAAAUCCCAUUUAUAUCAAGCUCGGAAACAGGCCACACCAAUCUGCGAUGUGAGGAGUCAGGAUAGUGGUUCCUUUGUUGGCGUUAGCAACUGGGAGGGCAGGAGGGCUUCAGGGGUGCUGUUGAUGUACCAAUUCUUUGUCUGGGUGCUGCUUACAUGGCUGUAGACACGCUGAGCUGUCCACUGAGGGACGCAUUUCUGUAUGUAUGUUAUAUUUCAAUCAAGUUUCCUUUAAAAAGAACCAGAAUGUAAUCUUUGAAAGAAGUGGCGACAGGAAGAAUAAAUUCCUGUGUGCCAACCACAAGGAAGUCUCCGAGGGUUGGUGUGACAGAACGGCACUCCCCCCACCCAGGGCAAAGAGAAGACUGGAUUUCCAACUGCACCCUGUUAUCUGCUGCUGGUCUAGGAAGCUGAGCUCCCCUGCACCUCGCUUUCUCUGCUGCAGAACAAAUGGGUUGGAAUCAAUUGCAUGGUCUCAGCGAGAAGAUUCCUCGUUCUUACCUGUUCCAGUGGAGACGGAAUAGGAUUUCAUGCUCAUUUUGCCUCUCAUGUGAUCUUCUUUGGGAAGAAUGAUCUUCAAGCUUGGUGAGGUCACAGAUCGCUUUUUACACUGUCAAAAUGUGCACACGUACACACACACACACACACACACGUGCACACCUAGGGGUAUGGGGCUCCUCUCAGUACCCUUUAUCCAUCAUCAGCCUCGACCUUCCCACGCGUCUCCUUCUUCACCUUCACCAUCCUUGAUCUGUAUUCCUUUCCAAGGGCCGCCAUACAAUGUGCCACCGACUGGAUGGCUUAGAACUACAGAAAAUUUUUGUCUCACAGGGACGAAGUCUACAAGUCCAAAAUCAAGGUGCUGGCAGAGCCAUGCUGUCUCCGAUGUCUCUCUCUGAACUUCCGAUAGCCGCCGGCUUUCCUUGGCUUGG